RNAcentral lists this transfer RNA (77 nucleotides) under Shigella flexneri. Its description in RNAcentral is "tRNA-Arg". It matches the Rfam family "tRNA". Rfam says of the family: Transfer RNA (tRNA) molecules are approximately 80 nucleotides in length. Their secondary structure includes four short double-helical elements and three loops (D, anti-codon, and T loops). RNAcentral also lists the same sequence under 1 other name. The record is from RNAcentral. Lineage: Bacteria; Pseudomonadati; Pseudomonadota; Gammaproteobacteria; Enterobacterales; Enterobacteriaceae.
GCAUCCGUAGCUCAGCUGGAUAGAGUACUCGGCGACGAACCGAGCGGUCGGAGGUUCGAAUCCUCCCGGAUGCACCA